GUUGAACGCUGGCGGCGUGCCUAAUACAUGCAAGUCGAGCGAACAGAGGAGGAGCUUGCUUCUCUUACGUUAGCGGCGGACGGGUGAGUAACACGUGGCUAACCUACCUAUAAGGCUGGGAUAACUUCGGGAGACCGGAUCUAAUACCGGAUCAUAUAUUGAACCGCAUGGUUCAUUAGUGAAAGACGUUUUUGCUGUGACUUAUAGAUGGAUCCGCGCCGCAUUAGCUAGUUGGUAAGGUAACGGCUUACCAAGGCAACGAUGCGUAGCCGACCUGAGAGGGUGAUCAGCCACACUGGAACUGAGACACGGUCCAGACUCCUACGGGAGGCAGCAGUAGGGAAUCUUCCGCAAUGGGCGAAAGCCUGACGGAGCAACGCCGCGUGAGUGAUGAAGGUCUUCGGAUCGUAAAACUCUGUUAUUAGGGAAGAACAAAUGUGUAAGUAACUAUGCACGUCUUGACGGUACCUAAAGAGAAAGCCACGGCUAACUACGUG
Molecule: ribosomal RNA, 497 nt
Filed under: uncultured bacterium
Lineage: Bacteria
Description: partial 16S ribosomal RNA
Rfam family: Bacterial small subunit ribosomal RNA
Source: RNAcentral